UCAACACUAAAAUCAUAAAGAAUCAGGUUAGUCGGGAGCUGCCAGUUUGGGCAAAGUUCUGAGUGGAAGGCUGUCCUGGAGCUGCUGACUGGGUAGAGCCCCAUGGAGAAAUGCUUUCCCACUUUCUCAGACUGUGGGGACCAGUAGACUACCAUAGACCCUUCCAACCAUGUCACACAUAAAGCUACAAGCUUACUUCUAUGGCCCCAGUUCCUUCAGUCAGUGGGGCAUGGGCCCACAACCAGUUUACCACAAAUCAGACCCUGAGUAACUGUCCACAUUCUGCUCUUACCCUGAAAAAAACCCCACAAACUAAAUGUGCAAUGGCUUAUCUAUCUUUGCCUAGCAGGUAGGGUAUCACUGGGUAGCUUUCAUUUACCACAGGGAUAAAAACAUACAUAUCAGCAAUUGUUGCAGAGCAGAUUACAUGUGUUAAAGCCCUGUCCCCUUUGCCUCACAUUUUGUAUAUGUACCUAUGCCUUUGGUUCUCAUUUAAAAAUGGUUUCUAAUCCCUGUGUUUGUGAAAGAGAAGUUACUAUGACAAAGGUGUAACUGAUGCAUUUAUGUCUGUCUGAGUCUGCAGGCAUUCUGAAAUAAUAGCUCUAAGGUAUAAAUUGCCCUCUGCCUGAGAUCUACUCCUGAAAAACCUCAUCAUUGCCUGCAUUCCAGCAGAGGAUUGUGCAUGACAAAUACAGUGAAUUCAGGCCAGAGCAUACAAGCAGACAGAUGCAGCUGUUGAGGUGAAUAGCAAGGCAGGCAGAUGACUUCUGUUGCUGACAUCAGCCGCUUGAAGGUUGUACACCCUUCAGAUGCACAGCGUUUCCUGCCAAGAAUGAAUAUGCUGCUUACCAAAAGCACAGCAGUAGGGUGGGGUAUAUUGCAAGGGAGCCUAAAAUGAUGAUGUAGUUUAGGGGGAGGAAGCUAGAGAUUACAGAAUAGAAACUUCUGCUAGUGAGGAGUAAAUAUGGUCAGAAAAGCACAAGAAGCUAGUCUGGUUAGUUUAGCUAAAUAUUUCCACACAGACUGACGUUAGACUAAAUAGCAUAUUUGACUAGACUAGACACUAUUUGAGUUUCAGGUCAAAGAUCUCUUUUUAGCAGAGAUGUUCCCUGGCUCAUCUUAUUGCUUCCUUUACACAGAACAUGCUGAAAAGUUUACAUACUGGUAUUACUGGUAUUCCAGUAUAAGGAAUAGCUGAGUUUGAGAGAGAGAGAGAGAGAGAGAGAGAGAGAGAGAGAGAAGUCAUGAACUGGACUAAUAAGUUGCAAACUUUCACUGAUUAUACCAUCACGUGUGGCAGGAAAUAUGGCUGACCAGAAUAAGUAUUUGACCAUUAUAUUAUCCAAAAUAAAAUUUGCUUGCUUACAGUUAACAUCCUCAAAGGCAGAAUAAGUAGCAAGGGAAGAAAAAAAAAUGUAUAAAUUAUUGGUAUUGGUGGAAUUGUUUUCCAUACAGAUGCCAAUAAAGCAAAAAUAUUUUCUCUGUUUUAGAACAGGAUUUCUAACACUCACUUUAACAAACAUAGAAAUAAAGUUAUUUUGGCUCUGUGUUAAUAUUUGAAAGCUCACAUCUUUGAAAAAGAUCAAAACAAAUCUAAAGUGAAGUUAAUUCCAGUCUCUGUUACUGGAUGGAAAACUUCUGCAAAUAUUAAAUGAAUAUACUAAAAAAGCUGAUAAAAAGUGAGAUUGAGAUGCAUGACUAAACUGAGUCAGUUCAGACACCACUUCAGAUGUAUACACAUUUAAAGAUUAUGUUGCACAUUUUCACUUUGCUUUCAUGUAACAGUGAUGAUCUUCUCACACUAGUGAGCUAGAUUAACCCCACCAAGAUAGCCUAAGAAUACUAGGCUUAUAAAGGAAAGAGUUAUUCAUUCUCAUGAUCCAUUCUCAGUUAUAAACUGAAUGUAUUCAUAGCUGUGAGGGAAUACAUAGUAUCAAAGAUUCACAUGACUGUGAAUCUCUGGUAUCUACAAUACUCUCCAAAAGCCAAUUUAACUCGGAAUGACCCUGUGAGUCAAAUACCAACCAACUGAAAGAAUACAAUGCUGCAAGGAUGUCAGGGAAAAUAUGGCUCAAAAAGAGAAAGAUAAAAUAUUCUGAAUAUUUCUGGAAGCUUUGAAAAAUCAGGAAAACACAUUUAGUAUUCAGAGAAUAUUUUUUCCCCAUGGUUUGUUACAGAUUCUAAUAUCUGACUCAGGGUGAUUUCUCGUUGGAUCCAUCCUGUAAUUGAGUUAGAAUAAAAAAGGCCUGCCAUUUGACGAG
This is a long non-coding RNA of Alligator mississippiensis (American alligator), 2261 nucleotides long. RefSeq lists it as uncharacterized. NCBI's taxonomy places the organism in Eukaryota, Metazoa, Chordata, Crocodylia, Alligatoridae. The record is from RefSeq and is a predicted model, not a curated record. The transcript has 2 exons.